UCGAACUUGUUUGUGUUAGUUUUUCCCCUAAAAGGCGGCAUGAGAAUUCUGUCCUCUUACCUUCCAGGGGAUUUGUUCAACAUAUGAAAGCCAUUUAACUGACUUUAAUCCAUUCCUAAGUUAGCAAGAUCACAGUCGGCAGCCUGAUUAUACAAGUGGAUAGUGGCCAAUAGAAGUUACUACUAUCUACAGGGAGGAGAGAGCAAUAUGGGAAAUUCCAUUUGAUUAAGCAAAAAAAGAGGGUGAUUAUUUUGUAAGUCUCCUCUCAUUACUUAUAGAUCGAUAAAGCUCUUAAUCUUAGAACUAUUUCACGUUACCAUAAAACCUUUUUUGAAUUACAUAUGUGAUAUAGAUUGAAUGGAACACGACCAACCGUUACAUCUUUCUCAAACUAGUUUAAUAGUUGUUGAAGUUGUUCAUGGAAUUUUUAUGUUGGAUGAACAAUAAUGUCACGGCCCGACCAGAGGCCCUGUCCGCGACGGGCAUCUCGAACCACAACCCGCUAGUGAUAUUAUCUGCUCUGGGCCUAGGCCCGCACGGCUUUAAAGUAAGGUUUUCUCACUUAUAUACCCAGCAUCCCUCUUGUGUUUUGCCGAUGUGGAACUCCUUGUAUUACAAAUAAUUUUUGAUUGAGGAGGGAUUUCAUCAAGGCAUAGUGGUUAAAUUAUCCAUGGGAUCAUUAGAUUUGCCAAUUUUAAGAUCAAUUUUGCCUAAGUUCCUCUGCGUUAAGGGAUAUUGUCCCGUCAUGUUGCUAGUUCAAUAUGAUGAUUUUGUAGCUACAUUAUCAAGAGCAAUGAAUUAUUUCAGGCAAAGAUAUUCAAACUAGGGUUUUCCCCUAGAUAAACUGAGGAAACUUCACGUGCAGCAGUAUUGAUCUCGUUUCCAAAACUUCUGGACGAAUGUUUUUGCUAAGAGGUCUUAGCUUUCCAUUGCUUCGGCAGUAGGAAAACUUACGGUUGUGGACAAGUGAGGUCUAGUCCUAGCAUGACUAGGGAUGGGGGUGUCCUCGACGUACAAAACAAGCAUCCCGAUCUUAUUCAACUUUAAGCUAUGGACUUUUUACAGGCAUAAUCAUUGAGGAGUUUCGGGAGGUAGUGUUAUAUAAAAUUCCUCAACACUGCACCCAUUUUAAGUAUCAAAUUCAUAAUGAAAAGAAGUGCCUAUGUUAAGUGGAAAAAUGUGGUGGUUCAAAAAAGAAGAUGAUAUGGUGGUAAAGAUUGAGGAUGCUUCGGUUGAGAAAUUGCUGGAAGAAGCAACAACAAAAGAGAGACAACAUGACAGAGAUUCCAAUAGGUCGAGCAUUGGCAGGGUGUCAGAGAACCUAGCUAAAAGCUCACAGGCUGGAACAAGAUUUUGUUCUAGAUGUGUCCUAAUCUGAAUGGGAAUGAGGGUAGUCUAUCGGGUAAUAAUAAGAGGAAGUCCAUUCUAUUAGUGGCAAUAAAAAUCAGGUGGUUAUGGUUUGGCUGGCUUACGCAAACAAUCUGUUAGUCCUCGAAUUGGCAAAAAAAAUUAAUGUGACAACUGAACAAGGCUGAUACAAACCUUAGGAGAACUACACCCAAAAGCUAGCUAUUAAGAUGGGAGAGCCCAAGGCUAUAUAAGCCCCGCAUCAACUUCCCAUUUAACCGAUGUGGACUCAAGUCCCACACCUUGUAAUAGGAUCAUAUCAAACCACCACACUCCGCAUCUGUCGUUCUCGACGGCUUCACUCUAGGUAGCUUUUGUUAUAUUCCGAAUACGAAAUCUGUAUAUUACAAUAUAAACUUGGCGAAAUGGUCUCUUGGACAAUAGUACUUGUCCUGAUUUGUAAAAUAUACACUUCUACUUACACUUUUGUCAUCUGGACCUUUUAACCCACCAAAACAAAGUAUUUUAACACUUUUACCUAUCAAAACAUAAUAUUUUACACUCAUUUUUCAUCCAAUUAAUAUGAACGUAAUACACUCAUUUACAUGUGGCAUGCCACAUCAUUUUAAAUGACACAUAGAAAAUAAAUAUUCAAAAUAUAUAUAAAAUAUAAAUAAUACUUUAUAAAAAAAAAUACUCCCCCACCCCCGCCCCCCUCAUUCUUGUCUUCUUCCUACCAUCAUCAAUCCAACAAUGGAGAAUUCAAUUUAUCCAUAUUUCCUCAUAAAAAGAGCACAAAGUUCAUGCCAAGUAAGUAGAAUUUUUUUUCUAAUUUGACUUAGAAAUUUCAAUUAUAUGUUCAUAAAUACAAACUCCAAUAAAUUACAAUUAUAAUUUUGGAUUGAUUUCACAAAUUCACAAGACUCAUUUCCUAUUCUUCAAGGUUAUUUAAGCUUAUUAAUGAAGUUAUUCAAUACCCACCAUUAUACCCAUAUUCAUACUUCCUCUUUGAAUCCAACUAACACAAACAAUGAUUUGAACUUUUUCAAAAUUUAAAAUAUUAAAAAUUUAGAUAAAGAGGAGUACAUUUGGAUUAUUGAAAACAAAAUAAUUUUAUGAUUCUUCUUUUUGGAUUUUCGGUCAUCAAUUAAAGAGGAAGGGAGAGAGAAUUAGGGUGAAGAAGAUGAAGUAGAGAAGAAAGGAAGAGAGAGUUCGGGUUAGUGGGGUGAAGAAGAUCAAAUAGAUUUNNNNNNNNNNNNNNNNNNNNNNNNNNNNNNNNNNNNNNNNNNNNNNNNNNNNNNNNNNNNNNNNNNCAAUGAAGAAGAAAAGUUUUUUUUUAAUGUACACAAUUUUAUAAAAAAAAUUAUAGGCAAAUUUUUUGACACCACCACAAUGCGUUUUUCAAAAUCAUCAACUUAAUGUCACAUAUGCAAAAAUGGGUUUAAAAUAUUCACUUUUAAUAGGUUAAAGGAUCCAGAUGACAAAAGUGUAUGUAGAAGUGUCUACUUUACAAACCAGCACAAGUACAAGGGUCCAUCGAGCCAUUUCGCCUAUAAACUUCAACACUAAAUUUAAGAACUACAAUGAAGUUCCGACAAAUUCAUACACAAGUUCAAAUCAACUAUCAAAAUGAAGUUUGUCUCAACUUUAAGAAUUGAAGGUGAAAUGGAAAAAGAUAGAAUCAAGUCCACCGAAUUCACGGUGUAUCCUUAAGAAAUUUAUUCCCCUCAAGUACCCGAGGUUAAUUGAAUCUUUCUUCCCAGGAUAAAAUGAUUCCCUUCAGAAGAUAACGGUACCUCAAAUUUGUUGAAAUUUUGAACUCACUCAAUGAUUUAAUGAUCACACGAGAGUUUUUAGAACAAAAAAUAGAUGUUUUUUAACUCAAAAACGUACAUUUACCUGAAGAAAAGUUCAGGUAUUUAUUGCCAAAAGGUGUUGCUUCGGAAGGAAAGCAAUAGUUCACAAAAAGAGAACUUUCUGAAAUGUCAUUCCACCUACGCCUGGUCUGCAUUGGACCUACGGCCGCAGGUGAUAUUUUGCACAUUAUAGUGAGGUCUGCGCUACACCUGCGCCUGCAGGUCACAAGGUGCACACGCAAAUGACUUUUUCACCCGAAACAAUGUGUUUCUUGCAUCGAAGGAUCACAUCCCUUCGAGGUGCGUUGUGAUUGCGUUCGCACUGUGUCCGCAAAUGGAGAAAAAUAUUUCUAUUUGAUUUUUGGAGUAAAACUUCUCUUAUUUAAGUUUCAAAUAAAGUUUAUCCAAAAAAUUAAUCUCUCGAUCAUUUGAAAAAUUCAAAUUUAAAGUCGAAUCCCAUUGUGAAUCCAAAAUCGGCGAAGCCGAAGUCGAGCGAGCGACGACGACGACACGAGGCAUCUCUUGUUCUUGUCUCACCAUCCACACGAAAGAAUGCUUCUCAAUAUAAGCAUAAGAAAAUUUCUUUCUCCCACUAAUGUGAGAGAACUUUACUUCUUUAAAUUGAUAGUGCAGUUCACUUUUCCCUACUGUUCCCUUCAUUUUCUAUUCACAUAUUCACUUAGAAACAAACAAUCCCCUAUACGUGAAUGGAGAAUGACUGUCUUAUAAAAAAAUUUACGAACAAGUGUGUGAUCAACAAGUAAAGACUAAUUGCAUCUGAAUAAGUAGGUUUUUCUUUGAACUUUUCGUAGUGAAAUUGCAUCGAAAGCACUUGGUCAAUCGGUAGGUGUGAUAUCUUUGUACUGUUGAACUUUAAUGUACACCUAGACAACAUAAGUCAUACAACCAGCCUUUUACCGUUUAUGAUUCUCACAAUUUUAUUCGUUUCAGCCAUGAACACGACGUGGUUUCAUUAAAAUUUAGAGAAUAGGCCGUUACUAUCAUUCUCCUUAAAGCGGCUUCCACUUCACCCCUACAUAGGUGAUUUUUAAACGUUUAAUCCUUUAAAUCAAACUAUUUGGUCAAACCUACCAAACUUAGAAAUCAUCAAAAUGCUUUAAACCAUAAGUCUUAUCCUUGUUUUCUGAACAUUGUCUUCAUCAUGAGAAUGAGUUCAGUAUAUUGACAAUGUGGAACUAUCAGUCACAACUUUGUUUGAUCUCCUUGAACUUAGAUCUUGGAAUCUCUAUUCUGCUAGGUAGAGUUACUGCCACGAUGAAUUGUCCUAGGCCUUAAACCUAUAUUCUUCGAUCAUCUCUCAACUCUCUCUCUAAAUAGACUUUUUGUAAGUGGAUCCGACACAGUAUCCUUUGACUUCACAUAGUCAAUCGUGAUAAUUCUACUAGAGAGUAGUUCUCUAAAGGUAUUAUAUCUCCACCUUAUAUGGCGAGAUUUACUAUUGUGAAUCAUGCUCCGUGCCCUAUCUAUUACCAUUUGACUAUCAUAAUGUAUACAUACAGGAACCAAAUGUUUGGGCCAAUAAGAAAUAUCUUCCAAAAACUUUCGGAGUCAUUCAGCUUCUUCAUCAACUUUAUCUAACGCGAUAAAUUCAGAUUUCACUGUAGAGUGGGCAAUACAUGUCUGUUUGAAUGAUUUUCAAGAGAUUGCUUCUCAUCCUAAAGUAAAUACACAUCCACUGAUAGAUUUUACUUUAUUCGAUCCGGUGAUUCAAUUUGCAUUACUAUAUCCUUCGAUUAUCGUUGGAUAUUUGUUAUAAUGCAAAGCAUAGUCUUGAAUGUAUUUUAGAUAACCCCAAAACUCUUUCCAUUGCCAUCCAAUGAGUUUGACUAAGAUUACUCGUGUACAGACUCAAUUUACUAAUAGCACAUGUUGUGUCUGGUCGCAUAUAAUUCAUUAUAUACAACAAACUUCUCGACACUCUUGUGUAGUCCAACUGUAAGUCAUUUUCACCUUCAUUCUCUUAAAGUGCAAAGCUCACGUCUAAUGGAGUCUUGGCAAUAUUGAAGUCCAAAUACUUGAACUUGUCAAGUACUUUUUCAAUGUAAUGAGACUGUUGUCAACCUUUGUGAAGUUCUAUGAAUUCUUAUCUCUAAGAUCACAUCAGCAACUUUGAGGUUUUUUGUAUCAAACUUGCUCUCAAGUAUUUAUUUGAUUGCACUUAUAUCAGAAAUGUAUCUACUUAUGAUCAACAAAUCAUCUACAUACAAACAAAGAAUGACUUUGUGAUUUGGAGUGUCAUUAAUGUAAACACAUUUAUCACAUUCAUUUAUCUUGAAAUCAUUUGUCAACAUGGUUUGAUCAAACUUUGCAUGCCACUGUUUGAGUGCUUGUUUUAGUACGUAAACUGACUUAACAAGUUUGCACACUUUCUUUUCUUUACCAUGAAGCACAAAACCCUCAGGUUGUUCUAUGUAAAUUUCUUCAUUCAAUUCUCCAUUUAAGAAUAUCAUUUUCACAUCCAUUUGAUGGAUUUCAAGAUCAUAUAACGCCGCUAAUGCAACCAACAUCUGAAUGAGCAUUAUCCUUAUUACAGACGAGUAUGUAUCAAAAUAAUCAAGACAUUAUUUUGGUAUAAAGCCUUUCACAACAAGUCUGUCUUGUAUUUGUCAAUAGUACCAUCAACUUUCAUUAUCCUAGAGGAAGAUCAACCAACUUCUAAGUGUGGUUGCUCAAGAUUGAAUCAAUCUCAUUAUUGACUGCCUCAUUUCAAAAGGAUGAGUCCGAAGAUGACAUCGCAUCUUUAAACGUCUAAGGCUCAUUUUUAAGAAGAAAUAUUAUAAAAUUUGAUCCAAAGGGUUGACAUUCUUUGACUUGUACUACGUCUUGGAUUCUCAUAAUUAAGUACAUUCUUGUUUGGUUCAUUUCGAAGUGGUUUAGAACCUUCACAGGACUGCUCAUGUACAGUUUUAUAUGAAUAAAUGUGUUCAAAGAACGCAGUAUUAUCUAAUUCAAAUAUCGCGGUUUCAAUGAUAUCCGGAUGUUUGGAUUUAUGAACCAAAAAUCGACAUACUUUACUACUUUUAGCAUAUCCGAUGAACACAAACUCCACAGUCUUAGAUCUUGUUUUUACCCUUUUAGGCAUAGAAACUUGCACUUUUGUUAGACUCUCCCACACUUUAAAAUAUUUUAAGUUAGGUUUCCUUCCUUUUCAUUUUUCAUAAGAAAUAAAAUGAGUCUUACUAUGGGGCAUUCUAUUGAGUAUUUGAUUUGUUGUAAGGAUAGCUUCCCCCCCCCCCUCCCCCCGCCCCCAAGUUUUGCGGCAAACUUGAAUUAUGAGUGAGGCAUUCAUUAUUUCCUUUAAUGUUUGAUUUUUCUUUUUUACAAUUCCAAUUGAUUGAGUGAAUACGGGGCAGUAAUUUGAUGGACAAUUUCAUUUUUUAAAUAUAUCUCUGCAAAAGGAAAUUCAUACCCUCCACCCCCUAUCACUUCCUAUAGUUUUGAUCUUUUUAUCCAGUUGAUUUUUAACUUCUGUUUAUAUUGCCUAAAUGCGUCUAUUGCUUCACCCGUACAAUUUAGCAAAUAAACAUAAUUAUAUCUUAUGUAAUCGUCAAUAAAAGUUAUAAAAUACUUUUUUCCACCAUGAGAUGAUGUUGACUUCAUAUCAUAAAUGUUUGUAUGAAUUAAGUCUAAGGUAUUGGAAUUUCUUUCAACAGGCUUAUACAGAUGCUUAGCAUACUUUGAUUCCACACAUUUUUGACACUUUGAUUUAUUGCACUCUAGGUUAGGUAAAAAAUUUAAAUUAAUCCGAUUUCACAAGGUUUGUAAUUGAUAUUUCCUAAACGUUCAUGCCACAAUUCAUUUGACUCAAGUACAUAAGAAGAAAUAGAACUUUUAUUGAUUUCAACAGUCAUUACAUAGAUCUUAAAAAGGCAUUCUGUGAGGUAACCUUUACCUACAUACACUUUUCCUUUAGUAAUUACAACUUUAUCAGAAACAAAUACACAUUAAAAUCUAUCUUUGGUCAGAAGUGAAGUAACCAAGUUCUUUCUCAACCCUAGAACAUGAAGGACAAUGUUCAGUGUCACCACUUUGCCUGAUGUCAUCUUUAAAUAAACUCUUCCCGUUCCUUCAACUUUUGUUGUUGCGGACUUACCCGUAAAAAGUAGCAUACGAUGCAAAUAACUCUUUGUUGGCACAUACGUGGCAGGUGGCACCAGAAUCAAUCCACUACUUUUUAGGAUUAUCAACUAAAUUACAUUCUUAAAGCAUAGCGUAUAGAUCAUCCACUUCAUCUUUGGAUUCAGCCAUGUUAGCUUGAUCCUUCUUCUUGUCUUUCUCAAGGGCCCGACAACCUGUCGACAUGUAGCCAACCUUGCCACAAUUAACAUAACUUUUUUUGAAUUUCUUAUUCGAAGGAUUGCUUUGUUGUCCAGACAAUUUCUUUCAUUUCUUUGAUCUGUUAGGGUCAUCCUCCACAAUAUUUGCUCCACUAAUUAUAGAAUUUCCUUUUGACCUCUUCUCGGUUGCUUUGUUUAUCUUCUUUAAUACGUAACUCACUAUGAGGUCUUCAACUGACAUCUCCUUUUUGUUAUGCUUCAAGUAGUUUUUGAAGUCUUUUUACAAAGGUGGUAACUUCUCUAUUAUAGCCGCUACUUGAAAAGCCUCAUUCACAAUCAAACCUACAUCAACGAUUAAUUGAUUAUAAAAAACAAACUUAAUAUAUUCAAUCAAGGUAUUUACUAUGUUCAUACCUUCCGCUAGGAGAUCAUGGAUGAUUACUUGCAGUUCUUGAACUUGAGAGACGAUAGUCUUAUUGUCUAUCAUCUUAAAGUCAAGAAAUCUUACAACAAUGAUUUUUUCAUUCCAGAAUCCCCAGUUUUAUAUUCCUUUUCCAAAGCACCCACAAUUCUUUCGAGAUUUUCAUACUGUUGUACACAUUGUACAAAUCAUCUUGAAGGCCACUUAAUAUAUAGUUCUUACAUAAGAAAUUCAAGUGUUUUCAAGCCUCUAUUACAAUAAAUCAUUCCUUGUCCGGUGUUUCUUCGCCAAUUUUGGGGCGUUUUUAGAGAUGAAUCUUUGAAGACUUAAAGUAGUCAAGUAAAAGAAUAUCUUUUGUUGUCAACAUUUAAAAUCUACACUUGAAAUUUUUUUGAAUUUUUCCGUUGCUGCCAUAGCUGGUGCAACACUUGAACGGUUUGAAAAUAGCAAUAGUUGUUGCUGCAACACUUGUCAUUCCAUCAUUGGCAUGGAGAUAUUCAACAGAUAUUUUUGUUCUCAUAAACAGACAGCCAAUUUAGUAUGUCAGAAUACUAACUAUAAAGUUCUAAAAACUUCAACACCAACUUGUUUCUAGUUUAAAAAUGAAGUUUUUAUGUUCUUUUAAUCGUAAACUGAAUAAAUUUUAACUCAUGAUGAAGUUUUUAUAUCUUCAAAUAACUAGUACGUUCAAACAAAUCCAAAAUAAAGAUUAUAACAUAAAUUACUUAAGAUGGUUAUUUUGCGGAUAUAAAAUCUGUAUAUUUCAAUAUGAACUUCAACACUAAGUUCAAGAUUAACUUCAAGAAUAAAAAUAAAGUUCUAACAACUUCAAACACAAGUUCAAAUGAAUAAUCAAAUAAACAAUUAAAAUGAAGUUCAUAUCAACUUAAAGAAAUUAAGAUGAAGCAGAAAAGCAUAUAGAAUCAAGUCCACCAAAUUCACGGUGUCCUUAAGAAAUUUAUUUUCCUCAAGUACCAGAGGUUAAUGGAAUCUUUCCUUCUUGGAUAAAAUAAUUUACUUCAAAAAAUAGUGGUACCUGAAAUUUUCUGAAACUUCGGACUCAUUCAACGAUUAGAUGAUCACAUGAGAGUUUUUAGAAGAAAAAAAUAUUUUUAAUUCAACUCAAAAAUUGUACCUUUGCCUGAGGAAAAGUUCAGGUAUUUAUAAUCAUAAAGUGUCCCUUCAGAAAGGAAGUAAUGGUUCUCGAACAGAGAUAACUUUUCUAAAAUGUCAUGGCACUUACGCUGGACCUGCGACUGCAGGUGACGUUUUGCACAUUCCAGUGAGGUUUACGCUACACCUGCACCCGCAGGUCACCAGGUGUGCGCGCACGUCAAUUUUUCGCCUGAAACAGCGUGUCUCUUGCCUCGAAGGUUCACAUCCCUUUGAGGUGCAUUGUGAUUGCGUUCGAAAUGUGUCCGCAAAUGGAGAAAAUUACGUCUAUUGAAUUUUUGGAUUAAAACUUCACGUACUUUCAAGUUUUGAAUAAAUCUUAUCAAAAAAUUAAUCUAUCGAUUAUUUGAGAAAUCCAAAUUUGAAUCUGAAGUCGAGCCAAGCGAGCGAUGACAGCAUCACGAGGUAUCUCUUGUUCUUGUCUCACUAUCCACGUGAAGAAAUGUUUCUCAAUAUAAGCACAAGAAAACUUCUUUCUCCCACCAAUGUGGGAGAACUUCCUUCCUUAAUGUGAAAGUUCGCUUCACUUUUCCUUCCAAUUUUUCCCCUUCAUUUUCCAAUCAUAUAUACACUUAAAACCCAAUAGCUUUCACUCUACUUGAGUAGGUAGAUCUUUCUCAGGUAGCAUUUUUUAGUCACAAUGGCCAUGAAGGAUGAUGGGUGACUAAAAAAAAUUUGAUGAAGCUAUCUGGGAAACAGCCCAAGGCUAGCUAUUAAAGUGGGAGAGCUCAAGCAUAUAAGCCCCAUAUUAGCUUCCCAUUUAAUCGAUGAGGGACUCAAUAGAACCAUAACAGAGGCCUUGCAACAAUGGACAUUGUGUAGCCUGACACUUUUGAAGCUAUUUCAUAUAGAUUGAAGCACCAAUGAUUGAAGCAUGUCUAUUUGCUUCUGUAUCAUCAACAGUUUUCACAAGAAUAAUGUCUCUAAAAACUGCUAAAGAAGUAUGGGAUUAUCUUAAUGAAGAGUAUGCUGGAGAUGAGAGAAUAAAAGGUAUGCAAGUUUUAAACUUAAUUAAGGAAUUUGAAUUGCAAAAAAUGAAGGAAUCUGAAACAGUGAAGCAGUAUUCAGAUAAACUUCUUAAUAUUGCAAAUAAAGUGAGGCUACUUGGCUUUAUACUUGCCGACUCAAGAAUUAUUGAGAAGAUUCUGGUAACAGUUCCUGAAAGGUAUGAAGCAACAAUUACGACCUUUGAAAAUAUUAAGGAUUUGUCAAAAAUUAGUUUGACGGAGUUGCUCAAUUCCCUGAAAGCUCAAGAGAAAAGAAGACUCAUGAGACAGGAUGUUACAACAGAAGGGGCUCUAGUCAGUAAGAACCAGGUUGACGAAUUUUCGAAGAAGAAAAAGAAUCAAGCGUUGAGUGAAGGAGAAACAUCAACCAACAACAAAGGUAAGGGAGGAAGUACGAAAAACUUUCCCCCUUGCCAUCACUGUGGAAGAAAAUGCCAUCCACCAUUCAAGUGUUGGAGGAGACCAGAUGCUAAAUGUAAGAAAUCCAAUCAACUUGGACAUGAGGCGGUGAUUUGCAAAAGUAAAGCCCCGCAGCAGGAAGAAAAUGCUCAAGUUGUUGAUCAAGAAAAGGAGGAUCUUUUUUUUGUUGCAACAUGCUUCUCAAGUAAGAUCUCAACAGAUUCUUAAUUAAUUGAUAGUGGGUGCACUAAUCACAUAACUCAUGACAAGAGCCUAUUCAAGGAGUAGAAGCCCACUAAAAUUUUCAAGGUUAGGAUAGGAAAUGGGACCAUCUUCAUGUCAAAGGAAUUGGAACCAUAGCUAUCAAGACUGACACAGGCAUAAAGAAAAUUGCUGAAGUUCUUUAUGUUCCUGAGAUUGAUCAAAACUUGCUAAGUGUAGGACAUCUGAUAGAAAAAGGAUUUAGACUUUUCUUUGAAAAUGAUCACUACCAAAUCAGUAACACUACUGGAAAUGAAAUUUUCAAGGUGAAGAUGAGAGGAAGGAGUUUUUUCUUUAGUCCAACAAAGAAGGAGCAACUUGCUUAUUACAUGAAGGUAGAUGUAACGGAAAUCUGGCACAAGAGACUUGGUCACUGUCAUCUACAAACAUUAUUGUUACUGAAGAAAGAGGAUAUGACAAGAGGACUUUCAACUCUCGUUGAUCACUUACCAAGUUGUCAAGCUUGUCAAUUUGGUAAGCAGAAUAGGAAACCAUUUCCUAAAGCAUCGUGGCGCGCUUCUCCAAGAUUGCAAUUGAUUCACACAGAUGUUGCAGGACCUCAAAGAACACCGUCCUUUAAUGGUAGUCUUUACUAUGUUAUAUUCAUUGAUGACUAUACAAGAUUCUGUUGGAUUUUUUUCAUGAAAUACAAAUCAGAGGUGGCUGGAAUAUUAUGGAAGUUCAAGAAGAUGGUGGAAAAUCAAAGAGGUUGCAGAAUCCAAUCCUUGCGUUCUGAUAAUGGAAAAAGUACUACUCCGUACACUCUGCAACAAAAUGGAGUUAGUGAAAGGAAGAACAGGUAUAUAAUGGAGAUGACGCGGUGCAUGUUGCAUGAAAAAGAGUUGCCAAAAAGGUUUUGGGCUGAGGCAGCUAAUACAGCAGUAUUUCUCCAAAUCGGCUUCCCAGUAAAGCGUUGGAGAGUAAAACUCCAUUUGAGGCUUGGAAUGGAUUCAAACCAUCUCUAACCUUCAUUAAAGUAAUGGUUGUGUUUGUCUCUUUCAUGUGCCGCAGGUUAAAAGAGACAAACUUGAUAAAAGGGCCACCCCGGGAAUCUUUGUGGGUUAUAGCUCAUCCUCCAAAGCCUACAAAAUUUAUGAUCCACAAACAGGGAAGAUGAUUAUUAGUCGAGAUGUGCACUUCAAUGAAGAAGAGAAAUGGGAUUGGAAAAAUAAUCAACUUUCAGUCAAAGCUUCGGAGAAGCAAACAUCCGAUCAAUGGUAAAAUGAGUUAGUAGAUGAUCCUCCAGUUAGAGGUACAAGAUUACUUUUUGACAUCUACCAACAAAGUAAUGUGGCAGUUUGUGAGCCUGCAGGGCACAAGAAUGCGCUUCAAGAUGAAAAAUAGAGAAACGCGAUGGAGCAGGAGAUGCUAAUGAUCAAGAAAAACAACACUUGGGAGUUAGUUGACAGACCGAAAGAUAAAAAGGUCAUUGAAGUAAAAUGGGUAUUUAGAACCAAGCUUAAUUUUGACAGUUCUAUCAACAAAUACAAGGCUAGGCUUGUCGUCAAGGGAUAUGCCCAAAUAUUUGGUGUUGAUUACUCGGAUAUCUUUGCUCCAGUAGCCCAACUAGAUACCAUCAGAAUGUUGCUAGCAAUAGCAGCACAAAAGGGUUGGAAAGUGUUCUAACUAGAUGUCAAAUCUGCUUUUCUAAAUGGUGUAUUGCAGGAAGAAAUCUAUGUAGAGCAGCCCGAGGGUUUCAUUGAGCAAGAAAAAGGAGAAAAAGUUAGUCUGCUUAGAAAGGCUCUUUAUGGCUUAAAACAAGCCCUAAGAGCUUGGUAUAGCAGGAUUGAUGAUCACUUGUUGAGUUUGGGGUUUGUCCGAAGUUACUCUUUAUGUCAAACACAAGGGAACUGAUCUACUUAUUGUUUCCCUUUAUGUUGAUGAUCUCUUGGUGACAGGAAACAAUGUGCGGCCGGUUGAAUAGUUUAAGAAGAAAAUGAUGCAAGUCUUUGAAAUGACAGACCUAGAACUAAUGACAUACUUUCUAGGGAUGGAAAUCAAGCAAGGUUGCAAUGAAAUCUUUAUCUGCCAAAAGAAGUAUGCUAGGGAGAUGCUGAAGAAAUUUCCUAUGGAAAAUUGCAAGGCAACAAGCACACCGAUGAAUCCAAAGGAGAGGUUGAGCAAAGAGGAUGGAACUGAUAGAGUUGAUGAAGGAAACUUCAGAAGCUAGAUUGGAUGCUUGAUGUAUCUCAUUGCUACACGACCCGAUAUUCUAUUUGUUGUAAGUCUUUUGUCUAGGUUUAUGCAUUGUGCUACUAAAAUGCAUUUGCAUACAGCAAAAAGAAUUAUAAGUUACAUCAAAGGUACUGUCGAGUAUGGGGUCAAAUUUAAAAAAGUGUGAGAAUUUCAAGUUGUAUGGAUUCUCAGAUAGUGAUUUGGUCGGAUCCCCUAAUGACAUGAAAAGUACAUCAGGAUAUUGCUUCAGUCUGGGAUCGGGCAUUUUCUCUUGGUGUUCCAAGAAGGAGGAAAAUGUGGCACAGUCCACGGCAGAGGCUGAAUUCAUUGCAGCAACAGCAGCAGUAAAUCAAAUCUUAUGGCUGAGAAAAAUAUUUUCUGAUUUGCAUAUGGAACAAAAGGUUAAUACUGAGAUUCAUGUUGAUAAUCAAGCUGCAAUAGCUAUUUCACAUAAUUCAGUGUUUCACGGGAAGACUAAGCACUUCAACAUCAAGCUUUUUUUCUUGAAGGAUGUGCAGAAAAAAGGAUAAGUGAUUCUUAUUUAUUGCAAAUCCGAAGAUCAGCUUGCAGAUGCAUUUACGAAAUCCCUUCCUGUCAACAAGUUUAAGUUCCUAAGGCAACAACUUGGAAUUUACAGCUCCUAAUGCAAGGAGGAGUAUUAUUAGUUGCUUUAGGACUGCAGAAUUUAUUUAUUUUAUUUCCUGUAUUUCUUUUAUAAGUUAUUAGGAGGUAGUUAGCAUGGUUAGGCACCAUGACUUUAAAGUAGAGCCAUUAUCUAUUUCAAUUUUUUUAAAAAAAUACUUUAUAUAACUACUCUUGGACAGAAAGUAAAUCUCUCUGCACAAGUUUCUCUCUCUCUCUGUGAUCUUCUUCAUUCUCCUGCUUCUUUUCUGUAGUAAUCUAGAUUCUUUUCUGUAGUAAUCUAGAUAUCGUUUGCAUAGUGUUAUGUGCGAUUUGUCUAUUUAAAACUAACACAUAUGAACACAUGGGCGUUUGAGAUCCCUACUCAGUUUAUGGAGUCAUUUCAUGUUUGACAUGCUUACUCUAGGCAGCAACUAAUAUACCAGGAUGUGGAUACGAUUAUGGUCUCAACUCAAGCACAUUCAAGCAACAAGUUUUAAACAAGAGCAACCAAAAACGUGGUACAAGUGUGAAGAGUUCGAAGGGCAUGGAGGAUGCUUAUCCCCUCCAACAUAGCAAAUUGAGUACAGUAGCCCUGCAUUUGUGCCACACCAUUUCAUGGCUUACCCAUCUUUAGCCGUAGGGCAACUUAUUGCUCAAAAGAAAUACGCCUUUAAAUGUUAUGUAUAAUCCUACCUAAAAAGAGAUCUAUUAGUAUGAAUAGUGGCCAAGAGAUAUGAUCCAGGAGCUUUAGUGUAAGAUUCAUCGGAAGCUUUUGGUGGUGAUUUUGAUAUAUUUGAUGAUGAAGAAGCGACUGAAAUAUUGGAUGAAUGCUAUUCUAACGCUAGGACGAAAAUUAUCACCUAGGUAGAAAAGGAGAGGAUUGAAGACACAGAAGACUCAUGAAAAAAAAAAUAAUAGUUAGGAUGGUAAAGUAUUUGAGGAGGUUGUUCUAAUGCACCAUCAAUAAGAGCAACAAACAAAAAGAGACAAGGUUCAACUACAUUACUAAGACCCAAUAGAUCCAAGAAGACCUAGAGAUUUCAAAGCGGUUGCAGGAAGAAGAUAAGGUGAAGAAUCAAACUUUUAUCAGGUUACGUCUCCUUAAAGUUUCACAACUUCAAAGAAACCUGCUUGUCUUUUCCUUUGAGUUUCACUUCAUUAUAUAAAUAAAAAACAAGCCUAAAAAACAAGCCAUGGGCAUCUCGCCUAGGGGAUUUGCUUAAACUAACAAAGAGAUAAAGCUCUUAAACUCUUAUGUGCUGAAAGAUCUCCUUCUAAUAAGAGGAAAUUACUCCAAUACAACUAUGUAAAAAGGUAUUUGAAAAAGUUCUAACUAUUUUCAGAAAAACAAAAAAUACAAUUUAUUUAAAUUUAUAAUUUUUAAAGUAUAUUGUGUAUCGCUUUUUAUAUCUCUAAAAUAGCUCUCCUAAUUAAUAUACAAUAAAUAAGGUAAUACUCUCACAAAUAUAUGUGAUCCCAAGAAUUAAUCUCUUCAUCUUAAUUGUAUAUUUCUGAUUUCCCUUUCUAGUAAUCUUCCUAACUCUUCUUUCUUCCACCUAUUUUAUUAUAUAAUAUCCUAGCUAUAUUCUGUAAAAGAAUGUGCAAGAAACAUAUUGAGUAUCCACUAGAAAAAAGAGAUAAAGGAAUGAUACUCUCAGUCCAUUCGGCAAAAAAGACUUAUCAUUUAAAGUCUAUAUUUUUUUAAAACAUUGGAGAAUCAUGUGCAACGAAUUAAAUCCCUCUAGGCACACUGCUAGGAAUUAAAGGUCUAGGUUUUCUUCUGGGAAUCACAUAAAAUACUAUAACCAUGUCAAAAGCUUUAUUAUGUAGUAUUGGUGAAGUAAGCACACUAAUAACUAGAUGUUAAAUCUUACCCUUAAAAAAAGAUUCUAUCCUCAAACGUGUGACCAAGUGAUCGACAACUUCCCUAGGUAGAGUUAUACAUAUGAGUGUUGGGUUCAAGUUGAAUGUGUGAAUGGAAAAAAUAGAGAGAAAUUGAGAUCACACCUAAAAGCAAAGUGUGCUCACAAUAAGGAAAGUUUACUAAUUCUCCCACAUUGGUGUGGGAGAAAGAAACUUUCAUGUGUUCUUAUUAAGAAACACAACUCCAUAUGGAUAGUGAGGCAAGAAACAAAAGGUGUCUCGCGCCAUCAUCGUUGCUUGGCUCGGCAAAUCAAUCGAUGAGAUUAAUUUUUUAGACAAGUGAACAUACCUUUCCGAUGAACCAUUGCUUCCUUUCCGAAGGGCACUUCAUGGCUAAAAUUUUCUGCAUUGAAAAACUUUCUUUUGCUUCUAAAAACUCUGUGUGAUCAUCUAAUGUUGAGUGUAUUCGCUACUGAUUGUGAACCAUUUUAUCCUGUGAGGAAAAUUUUUUUGAUAGUUCUUCUUGAACUUGUGUUGAAGGUGUUAAAAACUUCAUUAUUGUCCUUGAAAAAAGUCUUGAACUUGUGUUGAAGCUUAGUAUAUAAACAUACAGAUUGUGCACUCGAAACAACAAUGACAUCUUCAAUCUCAAGACAACUCUUAUUAUGAGUGUAUUUGGUUAUAGUCCAUUAGAAUUUGCUACAUGAUAAGAGGGAUACAAACCUACACUAACAUAAUCUGUGAUUUUUACCAAUCCUAGGGUGCUCCCUCAUUCAGUGCAAGGCAAUCACCUAAUGAAAAAGACUGGUAUUUGUGAGC
RNAcentral lists this long non-coding RNA (16243 nucleotides) under Capsicum annuum. Its description in RNAcentral is "long non-coding RNA (CANN_LNC000526)". The record is from RNAcentral. Lineage: Eukaryota; Viridiplantae; Streptophyta; Magnoliopsida; Solanales; Solanaceae.